Molecule: ribosomal RNA, 376 nt
Filed under: uncultured bacterium
Lineage: Bacteria
Description: bacterial SSU rRNA
Rfam family: Bacterial small subunit ribosomal RNA
Source: RNAcentral
UAAUACAGAGGGUGCAAGCGUUAAUCGGAUUUACUGGGCGUAAAGCGAGUGUAGGUGGCCGCGUAAGUCGGUUGUGAAAUCCCUGGGCUCAACCUGGGAAUUGCAGCCGAUACUGCGUGGCUCGAGUUCGGUAGAGGGCAGCAGAAUUCCCGGUGUAGCGGUGAAAUGCGUAGAUAUCGGGAGGAAUACCGAUGGCGAAGGCAACUGCCUGGGCCUGAACUGACACUGUGACUCGAAAGCGUGGGUAGCAAACAGGAUUAGAUACCCUGGUAGUCCACGCCGUAAACGAUGGGAACCUGACGUCGGUCUGCUCUGCGGAUCGGUGUCGUAGCUAACGCGCUAAGUUCCCCGCCUGGGGAGUACGGCCGCAAGGUUG